GGAUAUAACUCAAUGGUCAGAGUGUUGGACUUGUAAUUUGAAGGCAUGGGUUCAAAUCCUGUACUUUUAACU
This 72-nucleotide transfer RNA is filed under the name Rhamnusium bicolor. RNAcentral's name for it is "tRNA-OTHER". The stretch from base 6 to 62 matches the Rfam family "tRNA", at positions 8 to 63 of the family's 71-position model. Rfam says of the family: Transfer RNA (tRNA) molecules are approximately 80 nucleotides in length. Their secondary structure includes four short double-helical elements and three loops (D, anti-codon, and T loops). The record is from RNAcentral. Lineage: Eukaryota; Metazoa; Arthropoda; Insecta; Coleoptera; Cerambycidae.